Oncorhynchus tshawytscha (Chinook salmon) is the source of this 770-nucleotide long non-coding RNA. The record is from Ensembl. Lineage: Eukaryota; Metazoa; Chordata; Actinopteri; Salmoniformes; Salmonidae.
GAGAGAGCGAGAGAGGGAGAGCGAGAGAGGGAGCGAGAGAUAGAGAGAGCGAGAGAGGGAGAGAGAGAGAGAGAGAGAGCGAGAGCGAGAGCGAGCAAGGGGGAGAUUUUCCACAAAGCUUUUUUCUUUCUGCGCUUGAACAUCCCGGAUAAAGCUGAGCUUGUAAAGUGGGAAAGUACGAGCACCAGACCUUCCUCAACGUCAAUAUUUUCAUACUUUUGAUACUCUUUCAAGCUGGAAUUCACGCUUUCGCUUUUUUUCUCCAACUCCCAUUUCCAGAUCUAGGACACGGUCAUCCGUGGUGUAAUAAAAAAGUAACAGGCACGAGAAAAAAGUAACAAGGAGACCGCAUCAGAUAACCAGAGUGGAGUACAGUAGCCAACACCACGGCGGGAGCCCGGUAGUGAAUGGAGCCGUGCGGGGCUUAUGGCAGAGGGGUGUUCGUAUAAUAAUGGGACACGGAGUGGCUCUCCCAGAUGAACCUUCGAAGACUAUCACUGAGGCAAGGUGCCGGACCGGGGCAUCACGACCUGAUGGAUGUAUCUAAGUACAUCGUCACCUUUCCCUCAUUCUCCCUCGUAGCGGACAGCUCUUGUCUCCCCCAGCGGAAAAGGACCUCUGAAGUAUGGAUUUGUUCUGCUGAUAUCCCAAUGACCCCUACCGCCACCACCACAGCACUGGCACCACUAUGGUUGAAGUAGAUGCGAAGUUUCAUAGUGACUUUCGCCUCCCCCUGGUCCAUUUUUUGUCUGUCUUUUCCAAACCAGGCG